This is a long non-coding RNA of Bombina bombina (fire-bellied toad), 238 nucleotides long. RefSeq lists it as uncharacterized. The record is from RefSeq and is a predicted model, not a curated record. The transcript is spliced from 3 exons. Lineage: Eukaryota; Metazoa; Chordata; Amphibia; Anura; Bombinatoridae.
UGUGAAUCCAUCACAGUGAAGAAUAUCAGCGGUUGCAACCAGGACAGAUUAAGGAAAGCAGGUCGGUGUGCCCAGGAUUGUCUGGAGCAGGAGUGGAAUGACCAUUGGUGCAACAGUGGUCACCCCAGGGCCCUGAAGAAAACGUGUGCCGCACCCUUAUCAGCCAGAGCAGAGCUAAGGAACAAAAGAAGUAACCCUACAAAACUGGUGUCAGAAGUGGGAUGAAACAGGGAACUCU